AGUUUGCCUGCGGAACACUGAGUUGUAUAAUCUUAUCUCCAGGCAUUUUCUUGAGCUCAUAUAAAGGUUGGCAGAUGAUUUACGUUGUCCAGCACAUCAACCUGUUGAGGCUUCAAAUGCUGGAUCUAUCCUCACACAUUUAUGCCUUCUUCAAGCUGUUUUAGUUCAUUUCCUUGAGUCCAUUGUGGUUAAGCACUGUUUUUCCAAUCUGAUCUUCUAUUUUAAAUGCUAAAUACAGUCAUUCUGAUAAUUAGCAUUGUAUUAGUCAUUUCUACCAACGAGUUGGACAGAUUCACUAGCCUAAAUUGGAGUUGGUGCGCAUAUAAUGGUAGUCUGUAAAAGUUUCAACACUUAUUGAUUGAGGAUCAGUAAGUGGUAAAACUGAAA
Molecule: long non-coding RNA, 387 nt
Organism: Lycium ferocissimum
Lineage: Eukaryota; Viridiplantae; Streptophyta; Magnoliopsida; Solanales; Solanaceae
Exons: 2
Source: RefSeq, a predicted model, not a curated record